CACUUUGCGCCAGUGCCUUCUUCAGUUUUAGGUUUUGGCCAUCUUAGGUUUCCCCUUUUACAAGUUAACACAACUUCUCUUCAAAACAAACCUGCGCACCAUCAAGAUCUGCCUUCUCCCCCAUCUUCUCUCUGGUCUCUCACACCUCCGGUCGACGGAGGAGGGAUUGCGGCGCCGGUAUACACGGUCAGGCGAGACGCACACACCCCCAACACUCUUCUCCUUCCUAUGACACCCCCACCGCCUUCGUUUUCUCUCUCUUGCACACUGUUUUUGGCCGGAGAGCGGCGGAGCGGACGGUGCUCCGGCAACGACGUAGCGGCGAUGGUGAAUUUGACGGUGGUUCAGUGACGAAGACCCUCCAAAUCGACCCUUCUGAACCAACUUCUGGUAGUCGCUGAAGGUAACAUGGCUCAAGUCAACAAACUCAGGUCGCCAAUUGGCUUCUUUCCGAUUUAACCACCAUCCUCAUCGGAUGAACCGAUCAAGGCUUGCAUGUCUCAGAUCUGUGUACAUCGGUAGCCACCCUCGACAACUUAGGUAAUAUAAUAUCAUCUAAUAGUCCAUUUGAUUAUGUUGAGACGGAGACUCGAACAGAGAACUGUAUGAUCUACUUCAUGUGUCUCCUGAAGCUUCCGAUGAAGAAAUCCGUAAAGCUUAUCGUCAGUGGGCGCAAAUUUAUCAUCCUGAUAAGUAUCAGGAUCAACAGGUGUUGUUUAUUGUGUUAAGUUGUUGAUUACUGGUUUGUGAUGAAUGUUUUGUGUUUAGUAAGUGUUAUUGAAUGUGUUUUUUUGCAGUAUUGGAUAUAUUGUGAUUUUGUGUUCGUUAAUUGUUUAAUUUCUUCGUUAUGUUUAGUUGUUAUUGCAAUGGCAAUGAAAAAUAGGUUUUAGUUUGAUGUUGUGAAUAGUUUUGUUUGAUGUGUUGUUGUUCUCACUUUUACCACGAAAGUAUUCUGCCUCAAUAAAAAGACACCCACACAUACAUAUACAUAGGUUACUAAUGGUAUCAGUUGGUGAAAAAGAUCUCUCCGGUGACAAGAAAUUAGGUCGGUCCACCACCACUAAAACUCGCCAUUGUCGAGUCCAAGUCUGGAGAGAGAUGUGGUCGGCAUGGUCGUACCAGCAGCGGAACGCGCCGACUGGCCACCGCAGAUGGCGGUGCUGGUAUCUUCCCCGAUCAUUUGAAACCCUAGAAUCUCUGCUUCAACCACUCACCAAUCUCCUACCCCGCUGCCAGAAAUUCAUCGCUAAAGACGUCAUCUUGCUGAUCCCGGUUAUUUGGCUAGGGUUUCAUUCAGCGAUGGCAACAAAUUCCCACCAAAGAAGGAGAUGAAGGGCAGACGCAGAGGAAAGGGGGAAGAUUACGGUUCUUUUACACAUCGCCAUCCACAUCACCAACCAUGUAUUUCUCAUGGUACGAUCUCUUGCUUAUGUGCGUGUUUUUUAGUAAUAGGACUCAAUUACCAUCAGCUGGUUGUCGGCUACCUCAUUAAGAACCCUAGGUUUAAUGAUUUUCCAACCGUUAAUUAUGGUUUUGGUUUUGGUUUGAGUUUUGUUAAGCUUUAACAUAAAAUGCAUAAGAAAAACUGUUAAAAUUUUGAUUUAAAGCAGAAUAUGAUUUCAGCACUAAAAAAGAAUGCUAGCUCACUAAAAAUCAGCAGCCCAUAAAACUUUUAAGAGUAAAUCUAAAAGCUGAGACAAAACAUUAGUUACAAUUAACGGAACAUCAAUGAAGGAAAGUACUCAUCAGCCUAAGAUUCAAUUUCAGUGUUUAACAAAAAACGAUCUAGGUAGCCAAAGGGACUGGUUGGAGAGUAGAUGCAGAUCUAAGUGGCCUAAGGGACUGGUUGGAGGUAGAAGCAUCAGCACUUGAGAGUUUCUUUUUUUCUUUCGUGUUAGAUGUUAAAAGACUGAUGGAAGAAUGAAGCCGGCUAGGUGGAUUUUGAAAGUUUUUUAAGUUCUGACAUAGGAUUAUACCUAUUGGAUCGUUUUUUAGUACAUCCAUAGUCGGGCUUGAUGUAGCGCCCCCACAAAAAAACGCCCUAUGGCGCCUUCGUACACCGCCCCGAGGGCGCUAUCGCCCAAGCAUGCUCGACCUUAGGGCAUCUUUGUGGUGGGGGCGCUACACCAAGCCGACUACGAAUGGACUUAGGAUGGUUGGAAACUUUAUUGUGUAAAUAAACUAGAGUUAAACUAAUAUAAUUUUUUUAAGUCUAAUAUGAAAAGUUAAAUGUGUAACAUAAAAUAUGUAAAAUAGAAUGUAAUCAAAUCUUAAUGGUUAUGUCCGUUACGAAAGGUUUCCAAUGACCGUUCACCACGGUUUGAAACUUUCACAACCGACCAAUCGAAAGUCAAUCUAAAAAACCAACCUUAAAACCAAACCGAUGACCGGUUUGAAUGGUUUCAUGGUUCUAAACCAAACCGUGAAUACCCCCAAGUACGGUCGUGCUGAUGCUGCGUUUGUUUACUUACGUCUUAGCAAAAUCGAGCCGCCACAAUCUUCCGAACAUGUGUAGAGAUCGUUUUGAUCAUAUGAAGACUUUAUCCUUUGGGGUCUUUUUCCGGUUACUAUAAUAUGUGCCAAUACUGUAACGAAUCAAACUAAUACUGACCAAAUACGUGCCGCAGCCCCGCCGCAACGCGCUUAUUGUUUGUUAUUGUGGUAGACUACUGUCGAUUGUAGAAGAGACCUUGGUAGAGUCCUUUCAAAGGCCACAUAGGAACUGCUGUCAAUUGGGUCCAGAUGCUUGGGAUGAAGAGGGACUUCCAGAUUCGAUUGUUGGGGAUAUUGAAAAUAUGGACUGUUCUUAUGUCGAGAAGGUAAGCGAACUUACGCAGUAUUAUGUUACUAUAUAACAAUUAAUUAAAACCAAGAAGGCGCGUGAUGAAUGAACAAGCUGAAAAGUCUUUUGAAAACUGCCAACAAUGAAGAAUAGCUGGAACCCAAAAACAAAAACGCCGUGCGUUUCGUCAGUUAGAUGUGCAUCUGUUGCACAACUUAUCUACACAACACUCCACAUGUUACUACACUAAGUUGUGAUGAACUUUAAACAUCACAACAUUUUGUAUAGCUUCGUUUUGUACAUCUUUCACAUAUAGGCUAGGCGAUGUAAGUAUGGAACAUUGGUGUAACAAAUACUUGGGGUUUUAUUUACUAUGAUGCAUAUGAAUGAUCCCGCCGCAUCGCGGCGGGUGGUAAAUCCUA
This is a long non-coding RNA of Helianthus annuus (common sunflower), 3204 nucleotides long. RefSeq lists it as uncharacterized. NCBI's taxonomy places the organism in Eukaryota, Viridiplantae, Streptophyta, Magnoliopsida, Asterales, Asteraceae. The transcript has 5 exons. The record is from RefSeq and is a predicted model, not a curated record.